Molecule: long non-coding RNA, 201 nt
Organism: Thalassophryne amazonica
Lineage: Eukaryota; Metazoa; Chordata; Actinopteri; Batrachoidiformes; Batrachoididae
Exons: 3
Source: RefSeq, a predicted model, not a curated record
AUGCUUUCUGUUUGCAGUUUCCCCUGUUCUACCACUAGAUGCUGUGCGUAUGCAUGGUCAGAGCUGUGUGUAUACACAUAUUUCUAUGUAUAAGGUGGUAAAUUCCACACUUUGCAUAGAAAUGUUUGAAUGCACGGUUUAAGCACAUAUUGUGUGUGUUGUCUGUUGAUUAAUGAGGCCCCUAGAGUUAAAAAUUUGUUG